AAUCCAGUAAACAUUUUGCUGUGGAAAUUUUUAUCUGACCUGGGGUGUUGGGAAGGAAGGUUUGGCCCUUGUGCACUACUAGCGUCUAACUUAUAUUUACUUAUUCUUGUAUAUGUAUUUUAUCACCACAGCAAAAUAAUUGUUGUAUUUUGUGUCAUACAAAUUAAGUUUUUUGCCCUCAAAGUUGUCUUUUAUGGAGCUGUGUGAUUUAAAUUGGUAAUCCAAUUUUCCCAUUAUGAUUUAUAAAAUCCAGUAAACAUUUUGCUGUGGAAAUUUUUAUCUGACCUGGGGUGUUGGGAAGGAAGGUUUGGCCCUUGUGCACUACUAGCGUCUAACUUAUAUUUACUUAUUCUUGUAUAUGUAUUUUAUCACCACAGCAAAAUAAUUGUUGUAUUUUGUGUCAUACAAAUUAAGUUUUUUGCCCUCAAAGUUGUCUUUUAUGGAGCUGUGUGAUUUAAAUUGGUAAUCCAAUUUUCCCAUUAUGAUUUAUAAAAUCCAGUAAACAUUUUGCUGUGGAAAUUUUUAUCUGACCUGGGGUGUUGGGAAGGAAGGUUUGGCCCUUGUGCACUACUAGCGUCUAACUUAUAUUUACUUAUUCUUGUAUAUGUAUUUUAUCACCACAGCAAAAUAAUUGUUGUAUUUUGUGUCAUACAAAUUAAGUUUUUUGCCCUCAAAGUUGUCUUUUAUGGAGCUGUGUGAUUUAAAUUGGUAAUCCAAUUUUCCCAUUAUGAUUUAUAAAAUCCAGUAAACAUUUUGCUGUGGAAAUUUUUAUCUGACCUGGGGUGUUGGGAAGGAAGGUUUGGCCCUUGUGCACUACUAGCGUCUAACUUAUAUUUACUUAUUCUUGUAUAUGUAUUUUAUCACCACAGCAAAAUAAUUGUUGUAUUUUGUGUCAUACAAAUUAAGUUUUUUGCCCUCAAAGUUGUCUUUUAUGGAGCUGUGUGAUUUAAAUUGGUAAUCCAAUUUUCCCAUUAUGAUUUAUAAAAUCCAGUAAACAUUUUGCUGUGGAAAUUUUUAUCUGACCUGGGGUGUUGGGAAGGAAGGUUUGGCCCUUGUGCACUACUAGCGUCUAACUUAUAUUUACUUAUUCUUGUAUAUGUAUUUUAUCACCACAGCAAAAUAAUUGUUGUAUUUUGUGUCAUACAAAUUAAGUUUUUUGCCCUCAAAGUUGUCUUUUAUGGAGCUGUGUGAUUUAAAUUGGUAAUCCAAUUUUCCCAUUAUGAUUUAUAAAAUCCAGUAAACAUUUUGCUGUGGAAAUUUUUAUCUGACCUGGGGUGUUGGGAAGGAAGGUUUGGCCCUUGUGCACUACUAGCGUCUAACUUAUAUUUACUUAUUCUUGUAUAUGUAUUUUAUCACCACAGCAAAAUAAUUGUUGUAUUUUGUGUCAUACAAAUUAAGUUUUUUGCCCUCAAAGUUGUCUUUUAUGGAGCUGUGUGAUUUAAAUUGGUAAUCCAAUUUUCCCAUUAUGAUUUAUAAAAUCCAGUAAACAUUUUGCUGUGGAAAUUUUUAUCUGACCUGGGGUGUUGGGAAGGAAGGUUUGGCCCUUGUGCACUACUAGCGUCUAACUUAUAUUUACUUAUUCUUGUAUAUGUAUUUUAUCACCACAGCAAAAUAAUUGUUGUAUUUUGUGUCAUACAAAUUAAGUUUUUUGCCCUCAAAGUUGUCUUUUAUGGAGCUGUGUGAUUUAAAUUGGUAAUCCAAUUUUCCCAUUAUGAUUUAUAAAAUCCAGUAAACAUUUUGCUGUGGAAAUUUUUAUCUGACCUGGGGUGUUGGGAAGGAAGGUUUGGCCCUUGUGCACUACUAGCGUCUAACUUAUAUUUACUUAUUCUUGUAUAUGUAUUUUAUCACCACAGCAAAAUAAUUGUUGUAUUUUGUGUCAUACAAAUUAAGUUUUUUGCCCUCAAAGUUGUCUUUUAUGGAGCUGUGUGAUUUAAAUUGGUAAUCCAAUUUUCCCAUUAUGAUUUAUAAAAUCCAGUAAACAUUUUGCUGUGGAAAUUUUUAUCUGACCUGGGGUGUUGGGAAGGAAGUAAACAUUUUGCUGUGGAAAUUUUUAUCUGACCUGGCGGGUGGUGGAAGGAAAGCUUGGUCCUUGUGCGCUUCUAGCAUCCAACUUAUAUUUACUAUUCUUGUAUAGGUAUUUUUAUCACCACAACGAAAUAAUUGUUGUAUUUUGUGUCA
This is a non-coding RNA of Camellia sinensis, 2178 nucleotides long. Lineage: Eukaryota; Viridiplantae; Streptophyta; Magnoliopsida; Ericales; Theaceae. The record is from RefSeq and is a predicted model, not a curated record.